This 1181-nucleotide ribosomal RNA is filed under the name Klebsiella pneumoniae. RNAcentral describes it as "partial 23S ribosomal RNA". It matches the Rfam family "Bacterial large subunit ribosomal RNA", at positions 339 to 1530 of the family's 2925-position model. The record is from RNAcentral. Lineage: Bacteria; Pseudomonadati; Pseudomonadota; Gammaproteobacteria; Enterobacterales; Enterobacteriaceae.
GGUCUGGAAAGUCCGACGGUACAGGGUGAUAGUCCCGUACACCAAAAUGCACAGGCUGUGAACUCGAAGAGUAGGGCGGGACACGUGGUAUCCUGUCUGAAUAUGGGGGGACCAUCCUCCAAGGCUAAAUACUCCUGACUGACCGAUAGUGAACCAGUACCGUGAGGGAAAGGCGAAAAGAACCCCGGCGAGGGGAGUGAAAAAGAACCUGAAACCGUGUACGUACAAGCAGUGGGAGCACCUUCGGGUGUGACUGCGUACCUUUUGUAUAAUGGGUCAGCGACUUAUAUUCUGUAGCAAGGUUAACCGUAUAGGGGAGCCGCAGGGAAACCGAGUCUUAACUGGGCGUUAAGUUGCAGGGUAUAGACCCGAAACCCGGUGAUCUAGCCAUGGGCAGGUUGAAGGUUGGGUAACACUAACUGGAGGACCGAACCGACUAAUGUUGAAAAAUUAGCGGAUGACUUGUGGCUGGGGGUGAAAGGCCAAUCAAACCGGGAGAUAGCUGGUUCUCCCCGAAAGCUAUUUAGGUAGCGCCUCGUGAAUUCAUCUUCGGGGGUAGAGCACUGUUUCGGCUAGGGGGUCAUCCCGACUUACCAACCCGAUGCAAACUACGAAUACCGAAGAAUGUUAUCACGGGAGACACACGGCGGGUGCUAACGUCCGUCGUGAAGAGGGAAACAACCCAGACCGCCAGCUAAGGUCCCAAAGUCAUGGUUAAGUGGGAAACGAUGUGGGAAGGCACAGACAGCCAGGAUGUUGGCUUAGAAGCAGCCAUCAUUUAAAGAAAGCGUAAUAGCUCACUGGUCGAGUCGGCCUGCGCGGAAGAUGUAACGGGGCUAAACCAUGCACCGAAGCUGCGGCAGCGACACUAUGUGUUGUUGGGUAGGGGAGCGUUCUGUAAGCCUGCGAAGGUGACCUGUGAGGGUUGCUGGAGGUAUCAGAAGUGCGAAUGCUGACAUAAGUAACGAUAAAGCGGGUGAAAAGCCCGCUCGCCGGAAGACCAAGGGUUCCUGUCCAACGUUAAUCGGGGCAGGGUGAGUCGACCCCUAAGGCGAGGCCGAAAGGCGUAGUCGAUGGGAAACAGGUUAAUAUUCCUGUACUUGGUGUUACUGCGAAGGGGGGACGGAGAAGGCUAUGUUAGCCGGGCGACGGUUGUCCCGGUUUAAGCAUGUAGGCUGGUU